CGACACUAUCAUAUAAGUGUCUGUAUAUGUCGGAGUCUCCUACAUCUUUUUGGAUAUUUUCAUGAAAAAAUCAUACCUUGGUAACUAGGGCAUAGAGUGAUGGGGUGAUAUAGCUGCAUAAGAAUUGGCCCACAAACCUGGAUAAUGGAAACAAGAGAUAAGAAUACUGAGAGGUUUAAUUUUUUAUGANACAAACCUGGAUAAUGGAAACAAGAGAUAAGAAUACUUAGAGGUUUAAUUUUGUAUGAAAUUCAUGUCAAAAUUGAAAGGAACUUCAUUCAAACCCUAAAAACAGGUGUAUGUACGCGAGCAUGUGGUUCUUGAUGAAAAAAUCAUUAUAAUUGAAUUUCCACUAGAAUAACAAAAGUGUAUAGUUGAUGUAUAAAUAUAUAAUGCCAACUUUUGAGAUGAAAAUAUGUUAGGGGAUUAAGUAGAAGAAAUUACCCAGAACCAAAAGAAAGAAGCUAGCUCAAACACUUUCUACAUACGAAUUGAUCAUGAGUUAUGAAGUUGUUCUACUUGCCCUAAAGACAAACACUUGAUGGAAAUGAAGAAUCAAAU
RNAcentral lists this long non-coding RNA (561 nucleotides) under Lactuca sativa (garden lettuce). Its description in RNAcentral is "long non-coding RNA (LSAT_LNC004931)". The record is from RNAcentral. Lineage: Eukaryota; Viridiplantae; Streptophyta; Magnoliopsida; Asterales; Asteraceae.